This 895-nucleotide small RNA is filed under the name Pan troglodytes (chimpanzee). RNAcentral describes it as "processed transcript". The record is from RNAcentral. Lineage: Eukaryota; Metazoa; Chordata; Mammalia; Primates; Hominidae.
GGAGAUUGCGGGCGUCAGUGGCCAUGGCGGAUACAGCGACUACAGCAUCGGCGGCGGCGGCUAGUGCCGCUAGCGCCUCGAGCGAUGCACCUCCUUUCCAACUGGGCAAACCCCGCUUCCAGCAGACGUCCUUCUAUGGCCGCUUCAGGCACUUCUUGGAUAUCAUCGACCCUCGCACACUCUUCGUCACUGAGAGACGUCUCAGAGAGGCUGUGCAGCUGCUGGAGGACUAUAAGCAUGGGACCCUGCGCCCGGGGGUCACCAAUGAACAGCUCUGGAGUGCACAGAAAAUCAAGCAGGCUAUUCUACAUCCGGACACCAAUGAGAAGAUCUUCAUGCCAUUUAGAAUGUCAGGUUAUAUUCCUUUUGGGACGCCAAUUGUAGUCGGUCUUCUCUUGCCCAACCAGACACUGGCAUCCACUGUCUUCUGGCAGUGGCUGAACCAGAGCCACAAUGCCUGUGUCAACUAUGCAAACCGCAAUGCGACCAAGCCUUCACCUGCAUCCAAGUUCAUCCAGGGCUACCUGGGAGCUGUCAUCAGCGCUGUCUCCAUUGCUGUGGGCCUUAAUGUCCUGGUUCAGAAAGCCAACAAGUUCACCCCAGCCACCCGCCUUCUCAUCCAGAGGUUUGUGCCGUUCCCUGCUGUAGAUGCCUGCAGCAACCCCUGACCCCUAGAUCACAAUCACUGAAAAUGCCCUCAAACAUGGCCAAAUGCCCCACAGAACCGCUCCUGGCAGAGAGCGGCUGUUUAGGGCAGGUGAGCAUGCCUGUUGUGGGGCAGGAGAGCCCGGGACACAGAGGGACUGCCCAUGGUUUCCACUGCACUGAGCGUCGGUGGAAGCAGGAGAGAUGCUCGAAGAUGGCGUGUGUGCUCUAAAUACAUUUUAGAACUGUA